UACAGAGGGGGCAAGCGUUGUUCGGAAUUACUGGGCGUAAAGGGCGCGUAGGCGGCCUGUUAAGUCGGACGUGAAAUCCCCGGGCUCAACCCGGGAACUGCGUCCGAUACUGGCAGGCUUGAAUCCGGGAGAGGGAUGUGGAAUUCCAGGUGUAGCGGUGAAAUGCGCAGAUAUCAGGAGGAACACCGGUGGCGAAGGCGGUUCUCUGGGCCUUACCUGACGCUGAGGAGCGAAAGCGUGGGGAGCGAACAGG
This 253-nucleotide ribosomal RNA is filed under the name uncultured bacterium. RNAcentral describes it as "partial 16S ribosomal RNA". It matches the Rfam family "Bacterial small subunit ribosomal RNA", at positions 524 to 776 of the family's 1533-position model. The record is from RNAcentral.